This 450-nucleotide ribosomal RNA is filed under the name uncultured bacterium. RNAcentral's name for it is "bacterial SSU rRNA". It matches the Rfam family "Bacterial small subunit ribosomal RNA", at positions 354 to 796 of the family's 1533-position model. The record is from RNAcentral.
GUGGGGAAUUUUGGACAAUGGGCGCAAGCCUGAUCCAGCAAUGCCGCGUGCAGGAAGAAGGCCUUCGGGUUGUAAACUGCUUUUGUACGGAACGAAACGGUCCGGGUUAAUACCCUGGGCUAAUGACGGUACCGUAAGAAUAAGCACCGGCUAACUACGUGCCAGCAGCCGCGGUAAUACGUAGGGUGCAAGCGUUAAUCGGAAUUACUGGGCGUAAAGCGUGCGCAGGCGGUUUUGUAAGACAGGCGUGAAAUCCCCGGGCUCAACCUGGGAAUUGCGCUUGUGACUGCAAGGCUGGAGUGCGGCAGAGGGGGAUGGAAGUCCGCGUGUAGCAGUGAAAUGCGUAGAUAUGCGGAGGAACACCGAUGGCGAAGGCAAUCCCCUGGGCCUGCACUGACGCUCAUGCACGAAAGCGUGGGGAGCAAACAGGAUUAGAAACCCGUGUAGUCC